Long non-coding RNA from Oreochromis aureus, 709 nucleotides. The record is from Ensembl. NCBI's taxonomy places the organism in Eukaryota, Metazoa, Chordata, Actinopteri, Cichliformes, Cichlidae.
GAUGCUGACAGUGAACAGUGAUGGGUGUGGAGGAAAGGGUGGUGCAGUCACUUUAGGCUUGAGAUGCCAUUCCCACAGGAGGGACACGCCCCGGUGUUUUCCAAGACAGAGACGAAGGCAAACAUGAAGCAGAUCCAUCUUUGCAUCUUAAAGGAGCAGUUAUUCUGAGCCUUGGAGGUCAGCACUGAAUUCUGGCCUGCUGUAAGACCAGACCAAGAUGAAGUGAGAAGGCCCCUCUCUUCAACAGGGAGUGGCAGCGCAACGUGGAAAGGCUUAACACAGACACACACUAACACACACACACCUCAUGUCUGUUUAUUCACAUCGGCAAAGCACGUGCAGACACAUGUGCGUGUGCGCACACACACACACACGCACACAAUCUGCCUCACCCUCACAUAGACAUACGCAUACAAAAGCACACCUGUCAGGGCCUUUCCACUGUGUGAGCAAAAGCAAAGAAGUCCGGCCCCCCCUCCGUCUCUCUGUAUGUGGUAUCCCAUGUCUGUUAUAUUAAAGCAAAUCUAUUCAGUUCCCACUUUCUUAUCUGAAAUAAUGGCAUGAGCAAUUUUCACAUUUAAGUAAGCAAGGACACAUGCAGUCUCUCUCUCUUCCACUCUCUCACUUAAUGAAUGGAAUCAGAUCUGGGCCCCUGUGGCUGCGGUCUAAUCUGCCUUUGAAGAUUUCUACAAUUUACAGAAAUAAAUAA